RNAcentral lists this ribosomal RNA (254 nucleotides) under uncultured bacterium. Its description in RNAcentral is "partial 16S ribosomal RNA". It matches the Rfam family "Bacterial small subunit ribosomal RNA", at positions 524 to 776 of the family's 1533-position model. The record is from RNAcentral.
UACGUAGGGGGCAAGCGUUGUCCGGGUUCAUUGGGCGUAAAGAGCUCGUAGGCGGUUCAGUAAGUCGGGUGUGAAAGCUCCGAGCUCAACUCGGAGAGGCCACCCGAUACUGCUGUGACUUGAGUCCAGUAGAGGAGCGUGGAAUUCCUGGUGUAGCGGUGAAAUGCGCAGAUAUCAGGAAGAACACCCGUGGCUAAGGCGGCUCUCUAGUACGGUACUGACGCUGAGACGCGAAAGCGUGGGGAGCGAACAGG